UUGUAUUUAGGAUAUUAGUAAUUAGCACACUGGAAUGAUACAGAGAAGAUUAGCAUGGCCCUGCACAAGGAUGCUGUGCAAAUUUGUGAAGUUUUCCAUAUUUUU
This 105-nucleotide small nuclear RNA is filed under the name Papio anubis (olive baboon). Lineage: Eukaryota; Metazoa; Chordata; Mammalia; Primates; Cercopithecidae. The record is from RNAcentral.